AACGAACGCUGGCGGCGUGCCUAACACAUGCAAGUCGAGCGCGAAAGUCCCUUUCGGGGGCGAGUAGAGCGGCGGACGGGUGAGUAAUACAUAGGUAAUCUACCUUCGAGCUUGGGAUAACCCCGCGAAAGUGGGGCUAAUACCGGAUAAGACCACGUAACCAUGUUACGGGGUCAAAGGUGGCUUACUUUUUUAAAUGAGCUAUCACUUGAGGAUGAGCCUGUGGCCUAUCAGCUAGUUGGCGGGGUAAGAGCCCACCAAGGCUAUGACGGGUAGCUGGUCUGAGAGGACGACCAGCCACACUGGGACUGAGACACGGCCCAGACUCCUACGGGAGGCAGCAGUGGGGAAUAUUGGCAAUGGGCGAAAGCCUGACCCAGCGACGCCGCGUGGGCGAUGAAGGCCUUCGGGUUGUAAAGCCCUGUCAUGCGGAAAGAACGACCCUGUGACGCAUACUCACAGGGAGUGACGGUACCGCAGGAGGAAGCACCGGCUAACUCCGUGCCAGCAGCCGCGGUAA
This 520-nucleotide ribosomal RNA is filed under the name uncultured Syntrophorhabdaceae bacterium. Its description in RNAcentral is "bacterial SSU rRNA". It matches the Rfam family "Bacterial small subunit ribosomal RNA", at positions 29 to 523 of the family's 1533-position model. The record is from RNAcentral. Lineage: Bacteria; Pseudomonadati; Thermodesulfobacteriota; Syntrophorhabdia; Syntrophorhabdales; Syntrophorhabdaceae.